CAGCCCUCUUAGACGAGGCCGAAAGACCUGGGACGCUAAAAUUCGGGUCCAGGCCGGUGUUUUUAGUCUGGUCCACGGCGGUGGGAUUCAGUCUGGCGAUCCGAACCACCAGUGAGACGUCUGAGGGUUGAAGCCAGGUGAUUGGAUCCUCGUCCGAGUACUCCAAAGAAAAAAUUGGAGCUCGCCACGGUGGGAGGGUCCAUACCAAGUGCCUGCAAAAUAGCGGAGAGACCCUCCUGGAUACAUCAGAGCCACUGCAAAAAAGUUGAGGUCCCCGAGGAUUCCACUUCCUCCACAGAAAUCAACUAGUAAAGGAAAGUCUCACUCGCGCUUGGUUGCUUCGGGGGUGAGGGGGGGCAGUGCUGAUUGGGCCCCCGUAGGGUAAGCCCGCACUCCAAUCUCCAUCCGAUCAACUUUAGGGCAGCCAGGUGCAGGUGUGUACAACCAUGGGAAGGUGGACCCUCUUGGUUACCUUGACUACGACGCUCACCCUUACAGGACCCCAGCUGACGCCAACAACAGCUGAACCACGAGGCAGACAGAAAAGAUGGACGCACGACAACUCGCACCUAAGAGAUAUGAUGCAAGACCACAUCCACCCUUGGAUGAACAAUGCCUGGUACCGUUAUAUCCACGACAGGACCAAGGUGGAAUCGGCAAAUACAGACUGUUAUGUCUGUUCUCAUAUGCCCAGCACAUCAACACACCCCACACUAUAUGGUGAAUAUAUGAACAACACUCAAGCAAAGUGUGCAGCCAGCUUAGCUGGCAUUGGAUUCCAACACAGCUGAAUCAUCACCAACGACACAAUCCCACAUGCUGUUGGACUUAGUAAUGGAACAUGUGAUCAACUCUUCUGGAUCGAUUUCAACGUGACAAACCGGAAUACAUCCAUCCACUUCCCAGUGUUUCUGGACUAACUCCCAGGGAAGAACCACUCCAUGUGUUAUCAACAAGAGAAAGGUAACACACCCGUUGGAAACACGACAAACUGCGUCCAAACUGCAGGCCUCGGAAAGGGCGCCCCUGUGAAUAUGAGUGGAUCUUCUAACGGCACGUACUGGGUGCAAGGAAUGGCCUAGCUAUGUGGACAACGGGCAUAUUUCAUACUGCCCCCAGGCUGGACAGGAACAUGUGCUCCUAUAUUCCUGUCAGACCACACUUUCAGGAUGACCGCAGUAAACAUCACUUCUACAGCACGCCGGAAAAGAAGAUCUACGUUCCCUAAACUUCAACCACAUGACCCGAAGCAACGUACCUGAGGAAUUCAAACUGUGGACUACCGGACAGAAAGUACUCCACACAUUGUUCCCCUGGGUGGGAACCGGAAAAAAACAUGCUGAGGAUCGAAACUCUGGACUACCGCUUUGGACUCUUCUUGAACGCUUCAUGCAAGAUCAACGAACAGCAAGAUCAGGAAAUCAAUGCAUUACGGAUCGCAGUGAUGCAACAUCAAGUAGCUUUGGACAUGAUACUGGCAGAGAAAGGGGGACUUUGCGUCCUCUUCAAAAACACCUGCUGCACUUACAUACCAGACAAUGUACACUCAUCAAACAUGACUGACGCCCCAAACGCCUUGAGACAGAUCCAGCAGGCCCAAAAUCAGGACUAUGUGAGUAAUACAAGUGACUGGUUUUCUUGGCUUUACACUGGCUCCUGGCUACAGGUGCUAAAAAGACUACUACUGCCUUUUCACUGUGCAAUACUUUUUGUUAAUAACCAACGGUGCAGUAGACUUCAAUACUUGAAAUACUUGCAAUUCCCUUGUAUUUGUAUUUAUUCUGUUUCUACCUUUUGUAUACUCUUAUUUAUAUGUAUGUCUCUGUAUUUAUAUAUGUGUAUAUAUAGUAUUCUGCUCACAUUCUGUAGCUUCUGUCGGUGCUGUGCUAUUUGGAAACCGAAUUUUACAGUUAAUAGGAUUAAUACAGUUUUAUCUUAUCUUAUCUUACUCAUCGGAGCUGGAGUAUUUUUUACUUUUAUUUUGUGUUUUGUAACAUGUAUCCUGCCAUGUCUAAAACUCAUGAUUAACUGCAUAAUCGUUUCCACUGUAGCUGCAUACAUUGCCGUGACAAAUGAUGAUGGUGAUGACCCCGACCUGUUGGAAUGUGAAGACUUUGUGUGAUUAAUGAUGAUGUGACAGAAAAUGUACAACAAGAUGUUACAUACUGAUAUCUCACUUAAAGGUUAUACUGACAACAGGAGGGAAUGUCAAUAGAAAAUUGUAUGUUUUAGUCAGUAUAAGCUUUUAAUGAUAUAAGUUUGCUUGUGAUAGAAUGCUGCAUGAUGAUCAUUUCCUUGCUUAGAACUGGUUGUUCUUUUCAUUGUUCAGGACUGAUUGUUCUUUAUAAAACAUGUUCUGAUAUUUGUAUCUGAGUCUUCUCACAGCGAUAGGAAGAAGUCAAACAAGCAGUUCUGACCUCCCACACACACACA
This is a long non-coding RNA of Oreochromis niloticus (Nile tilapia), 2433 nucleotides long. RefSeq lists it as uncharacterized. Lineage: Eukaryota; Metazoa; Chordata; Actinopteri; Cichliformes; Cichlidae. The record is from RefSeq and is a predicted model, not a curated record. The transcript is spliced from 2 exons.